RNAcentral lists this ribosomal RNA (501 nucleotides) under uncultured bacterium. Its description in RNAcentral is "bacterial SSU rRNA". It matches the Rfam family "Bacterial small subunit ribosomal RNA", at positions 32 to 518 of the family's 1533-position model. The record is from RNAcentral.
AACGCUGGCACCAUGCCUAAUACAUGCAUGUCGAGCGGAGUUAGAGAGCUUGCUUUCUAAACUUAGCGGCAAAUGGGUGAGUAACACGUAAGGAACCUGCCUAAGCGACGAGGACAACGGUUGGAAACGACUGCUAAUACUGGAUAGUAUAAGAAACCGCAUGAUUUCUUAUUUAAAGGUCCGUUUGGACCACGCUUAGAUGGCCUUGCGGCGCAUUAGAUAGUUGGUGAGGUAACGGCCCACCAAGUCAAUGAUGCGUAGCUGCACUGAGAGGUGAAACAGCCACACUGGGACUGAGACACGGCCCAGACUCCUACGGGAGGCAGCAGUAGGGAAUUUUCGGCAAUGGGCGAAAGCCUGACCGAGCAAUGGUGCGUGAACGAUGAAAGGUCCUUGGAUCGUAAAGUUCUUUUAUAAGGGAAGAAUACACUAUGUAGGAAAUGACAUAGUGCUGACGGUACCUUUUGAAUAAGCUCCGGCCAACUAUGUGCCAGCAGCGGC